Molecule: long non-coding RNA, 910 nt
Filed under: Monodelphis domestica (gray short-tailed opossum)
Lineage: Eukaryota; Metazoa; Chordata; Mammalia; Didelphimorphia; Didelphidae
Description: lncRNA (ENSMODG00000036267.2)
Source: RNAcentral
ACACUUAUCUUCAUUCACUACUCACUUGAGUCCAUGCCCAGAGUGAGAAUCCACUCACCUUCCUUAGGAAAACUCUCUAACAAUGGAACAUCAAGGAGCAUCAGAGACUAGCAAAGCAUCCUGGGAACUCCAGUGAGCAAAGACAAGAGCUCUCAGCAGGCAAGAAGGGCUCCCGAUUCUGGAAGAAGAUUUUGCUCUUCCAUUUGGAAUGGCAGUACCUGCACAUCCCUGGGACCCAGCUUCCUGGCCACUGCUGCAGCCUCCUGUCCGACAUCCUGGAGAAAUGCUGCUCACAGGCUGAGGUUUUCACCAGAAGAGAAUGCUUUUUGCCCUGAAAUCCAAAGGGCUCUCCUGUGGCCUCUGUACCUGCAGCUCAAGACUCCAGGAGAAACUUUCCCAUCUCAUCAGUGCAAGGGAUCAAGAACAGGACUCAGGGACAAAGGGGACUUUGAUUCAGCUGCUGUGACUCACAGUGAACAAGACUAACUUCAACCCUCUGGGCCUCCGCUUCACCUACAAAACGCUGUUUUGUUUGACCUAAUUUCUAGCAUAGAAGCUGAGGCCUUUCAUCAUCAGGUGGUAAGAGACAGAGAAGAUCUUAAAAAGGAAUGAUGUUGGAAAAAGUGUCAUGCCUUAUAUUUUUUGCUCCUCACACCUGUUUGCCACUGUAAAAUUACCUCCUUGGUAAAGUAGGACCUCAUUAACUCAGUCUCCAUUUGCUCAGAAUUUGUGAUUCUUAGGGGGACUCUGCAAACCUCUACCUUCAUCCUGUGAAAUAGGCUCAUUAAGCAAAUUAGUAUAAACAAGAUUGUAGGGGGCAUGAUUAACCUACUUAAGAGAAUAAGCUAUGGAAUGAGGGUUGUUAUGUGGUUGAUAGUAUGCAACUGAUAUGCUAAUUCCAAAUCUUUCU